CCCCCCUCCCCUCCGGCGGCCUCCGCAGAGCUCUGACCGGCCGGAGUGGCUGGCUCUCCAGGCUUCCUUUCUACCUGCCCGCUCUAGCUCCGCAGUCCCCCCUCCCAACUCCACUCGCGACCGCGAGAACCCCUCCCUCCCCCGCGAGUCCCUAGUAACCUUGGAACUAACUUAACACUUUCCCCCAGGUCUGGUCUUAGCCUUUGCCCUACGGCUCGGCUUCCUAAAGCCUCCAGGUCCCCAAACUUUUAUAGUAAUCGUGGACUAAAAACUCUGUCCUUGACCAAGCCCAUGCCCUCCCAGGAUGCUGCCACCACCCGUCGCCCCUCAGGGCUUCUUAAGGAGGUGGAUUUGUAACCGAAAGGCCCAGAUUUGCUGAAGACUCAGGUUCUCAGCAGAAUGGUUGAGUGAUCAGAAAGGCUCCACAACUGAACUCUGUCAAGGUAUUACUAUAAAUCCUGUUACAGUGUGUGCCUAUAGACACCUGCCUGGACGAGCGGGCAGGCAGCUUCAAACAGCCAUCCUUUUCUUCUCCCAACCUCCAGAGAGCUUGCUUAUUCAGCUAUGCCCCGAACCUCGCUGUCUUUAAUGGGAAGAUCUGAUACUUAGCAGACAAACUAGCCUCUGUCUUGUUAAUACUGAUAAUCUCUUAGAUACAGAGCACAGCUGUUCCACAGUGAGUGGGAUGGAGAGAAACCACGUCAGUAAAAGGCCCAGAGAAUCCACGCUUGCAAUUUGUAAAACAAGAGCUAUCGUUAGACCAUAUUGGGCAGAGCCCUGAUACUCAAGGUCUCUGGAGGGAUGGGAAGACUGUUGAGAUCCGGAGAGGAGGGAGGGUCAAUUCUGUGCUCUUUCGCAAGAGCUGAUGGGAACAAUAGAGAAGUACUUGAGCUUCCCUUCACCUUUCCAACGUCUGUGAUGAGUUUUUAACAAGGGUGGGGUAUUCUUGGUAAUGAACUAGUCCUAUAAGCCUUUUUAGACAUUUCAGAGGCGAUAAACAGAGCUGAAUACAGAUGAAGAAAUCUGAAGGCAGACUGCAGAGAGAUUCUGCAGGAAGAUUAUCCCAAAUCCAGGAAUUAGAGGCUGGACGGGAACUCAUUAUCUGUUGAUUCAGCCCUUCUGCUUUCGUAUGCUGGACUGCGUCUCACUGGUGUUCAGAAAGCUCAUCUUGUCUGCAGCUAGUCUCUAACAACUGAACAGCGAACAAGUAUAUUUUCUCUUUUGUUUGAACACAUGGCUCUAUAUUAAAUGACUGUUUGGAGAGUCACACCAGGGACUUGUGAGCCAAAAAUACUGCCCUUCCAGUGAGUUCAAAAUACUGUCUUUCAAAUAAAGGUACCUUUUGGAAUAUUGCUAAGAAUUUCAAAAUUUGAAUUUUAAUGACAUUUCCUUUGUGAAGAGCAGUCAUUGAGGACUUGACCUUUUGGGAUGUCUUCUGUUUCUCAAACCAUAGAAGACAUUUUUGUAAGCAAACAAUCCUUUUCUGUGAUCUUUUAUUGUAUAUUAAUAGCAAUUUCUAUUUACUCAAAGCACUUUUUAUGCAUGUAUCAUGUGUUAGCCCUUCGUCCUAGACACUGGGCACAUAGUAAUACUCCAGAAGAGCAAUAAUCCCUGUCCUCACGGAGUCAGAUAAUAAACUGCAUGUAUAAAUCAUUA
Myodes glareolus (Bank vole) is the source of this 1656-nucleotide non-coding RNA. NCBI's taxonomy places the organism in Eukaryota, Metazoa, Chordata, Mammalia, Rodentia, Cricetidae. The record is from RefSeq and is a predicted model, not a curated record.